CUGGAGCCUGCUCAGAGGUGCUUUGAAGGGAUCCCUGGGCUGCCUGGGGAAGCACCCAGGGCCAGGGAGUGUGACCCUGCAGGCUCCACACAGGACUGCCAGAGGCACACACCUGCUCUGUCUACCCGAGGGCACCAGAGGGCACGAGAAGGCUGGCUCCCUGGCGCUGACACGUCAGGCAACUGAGGCACAAGGCUGUCACCAUCGAGAUCAACCCCGACUGUGCCGCCAUCACCCAGCGGAUGGUGGAUUUCGCUGGCGUGAAGGACAAGUCACCCUUGUGGUUGGAGCGUCC
Molecule: long non-coding RNA, 295 nt
Filed under: Homo sapiens (human)
Lineage: Eukaryota; Metazoa; Chordata; Mammalia; Primates; Hominidae
Description: long non-coding RNA NONHSAT083437.2
Source: RNAcentral